This 500-nucleotide ribosomal RNA is filed under the name uncultured bacterium. RNAcentral's name for it is "partial 16S ribosomal RNA". It matches the Rfam family "Bacterial small subunit ribosomal RNA", at positions 28 to 507 of the family's 1533-position model. The record is from RNAcentral.
GACGAACGCUGGCGGCGUGCUUAACACAUGCAAGUCGAACGGGCCUGUCUUCUUUUUUGGGGGGUGGGUUGAGUGGCGAACGGGUGAGUAUCACGUGAGUAACCUGCCCUUCGGUCCUGGAUAACCGCUUGAAAGGGCGGCUAAUACGGGGUGGUCCGGUUGGUCCGCAUGGGCUGGUCGGGAUAGAUUCACUGUUUUUGGUGUUUCGGCGGGGGAUGGGCUCGCGGCCUAUCAGCUUGUUGGUGGGGUGAUGGCCUACCAAGGCGGUGACGGGUAGCCGGCCUGAGAGGGUGGGCGGCCACACUGGGACUGAGAUACGGCCCAGACUCCUGCGGGAGGCAGCAGUGGGGGGUAUUGCACAAUGGGCGGAAGCCUGAUGCAGCGACGUCGCGUGAGGGAUGGAGGCCUUCGGGUUGUGAACCUCUGUUUCCGGUGGUGAAGGCCCUGUCCGUGUGGUAGGGUUGACGGUAGCCGGGGAUGAAGCGCCGGCUAACUACGUG